UGCAGUCGAGCGAACAGACAGGAGCUUGCUCCUUUGACGUUAGCGGCGGACGGGUGAGUAACACGUGGGUAACCUACCUAUAAGACUGGGAUAACUUCGGGAAACCGGAGCUAAUACCGGAUAAUAUUUCGAACCGCAUGGUUCGAUAGUGAAAGAUGGUUUUGCUAUCACUUAUAGAUGGACCCGCGCCGUAUUAGCUAGUUGGUAAGGUAACGGCUUACCAAGGCGACGAUACGUAGCCGACCUGAGAGGGUGAUCGGCCACACUGGAACUGAGACACGGUCCAGACUCCUACGGGAGGCAGCAGUAGGGAAUCUUCCGCAAUGGGCGAAAGCCUGACGGAGCAACGCCGCGUGAGUGAUGAAGGUCUUCGGAUCGUAAAACUCUGUUAUUAGGGAAGAACAUACGUGUAAGUAACUGUGCACGUCUUGACGGUACCUAAUCAGAAAGCCACGGCUAACUACGUGCCAGCAGCCGCGGUAAUACGUAGGUGGCAAGCGUUAUCCGGAAUUAUUGGGCGUAAAGCGCGCGUAGGCGGUUUUUUAAGUCUGAUGUGAAAGCCCACGGCUCAACCGUGGAGGGUCAUUGGAAACUGGAAAACUUGAGUGCAGAAGAGGAAAGUGGAAUUCCAUGUGUAGCGGUGAAAUGCGCAGAGAUAUGGAGGAACACCAGUGGCGAAGGCGACUUUCUGGUCUGUAACUGACGCUGAUGUGCGAAAGCGUGGGGAUCAAACAGGAUUAGAUACCCUGGUAGUCCACGCCGUAACGAUGAGUGCUAAGUG
Molecule: ribosomal RNA, 781 nt
Filed under: Staphylococcus sp. V19-PCA-E14
Lineage: Bacteria; Bacillati; Bacillota; Bacilli; Caryophanales; Staphylococcaceae
Description: bacterial SSU rRNA
Rfam family: Bacterial small subunit ribosomal RNA
Source: RNAcentral